CCUUGGGUGGUACAAAGGGUUUGUGCGCUUAGCUGCUAACUGAAGAGUUGGUGGUUUGAGUCCACCCACAGGUG
This 74-nucleotide transfer RNA is filed under the name Loxodonta africana (African savanna elephant). It matches the Rfam family "tRNA". Rfam says of the family: Transfer RNA (tRNA) molecules are approximately 80 nucleotides in length. Their secondary structure includes four short double-helical elements and three loops (D, anti-codon, and T loops). Lineage: Eukaryota; Metazoa; Chordata; Mammalia; Proboscidea; Elephantidae. The record is from Rfam by way of RNAcentral.